UCCUGUCACUUCCUGUGACAGGGACUUUGGUGGUAGAACUUGGCUUGGAGGGCUGGAGCAUGGGACCUAAGAUUGCUUCCCUGAGAUGACCAUGUGAUGCAGCAAGGAGUCAUUGGAACUUAUUCAGCUGGGGAGUGUGACCUGGAUAGAGCUGUGCUUUAGGGACAUUGAUUUGGCAGCUGAGUAGAAGAUGGAUUAGACAAGAAGAGACUUGAGAUGGAGAAAUCAAUUUGGAAGCUCUUAAAAAUAGUCCAAGCGGGAGGUGAUGAGGGACUAACCUAUGGAGGUGGUGUGGCAAUAGGAAUCCAUCAAGGAAUUUGAGGAGGGGAGUGACAUGGCCAUUCUUAAUCCAUGGGAAGAUGGCGGUAAGCUAUGUGGAGGAUGUUGUUGCAGAGAGGACAAUAUGGAGACAACUCAUUGUGAUCUCCUCUACAUUGUUUUCAGGGCUCCCCUACUAAAGAGAGCCAGUCCACAAAGUUCUCAGAUUCUUUGCUUGUGCUCAGCAGUUCAGAAUGUUCCAAGUAAAUAAAUAAUGUUAAUGCA
Molecule: long non-coding RNA, 543 nt
Organism: Monodelphis domestica (gray short-tailed opossum)
Lineage: Eukaryota; Metazoa; Chordata; Mammalia; Didelphimorphia; Didelphidae
Source: RefSeq, a predicted model, not a curated record